UGAAAAUAACUGAUCCUUUUAUGAAGAAAUAAACUUUUGGUGUGAGAGGUGGCAAUCACAAAAGGUGUGAAUCUUUUGUAGAGAUUUGAAAGAACAGAAGUUAACAAUGCAGGCUGGACUUCUCUGCCCUUGCUGUGAUAUUUGAGAGAGGGAAUAUGUUAGCAGUGCCAUGAAGGAAUAUGGCAUUUCCAGUUUAGAUUGUUGUGCAUGAAUUACGUGCAAAAGGGCUGAGAACUCUGACAUCUUAUAUUGAUCUGAGAGAAUAAAUCUUAAAAUUUAUCUCUCCCAUGGACAGCUAAAUACUGUUUAGAUAACUUAUUAACCAAUUGGACUCCAUAGAUAUUUUCCUUUGAUCCAAUAACUUGACUGUCUGAUGAUAGGUGCUCUGGGCUAUGCUGUGAUUUAAGGUGUAAGACUCUCCUCCCUAUUGAGGAGGCUGAAAAAUUUCUCCCUCCAGUCUGCGAACCACAGAGGGACCUCAGAUUCUUAAUGCAUUCCCUAUUGAUAGCCACCAUAGAAGGCUGGAACAGAAGAAUUUUUGCUGUGAUGUCCUCCAGUUGUCCUCUGCUGAAAUCUGAGCUAUCAUGCUGAGGUGCAGAAGACAAAAGAAAGGAAAAAAAAAAACAACAUUGAUACAUUAUUCAUUAUUCAUGCCAGAGAAAGAGAGAGGCAGUGAUGGAGAAAAGAGAAGACAAGGCUUCUCCUUCAAGAGGAUGUUCCAGAUGCAGUACCCUGCAGGUGGUGAUUUGCUGAGACUCUGAAUAUAACUUCUCACACCAAAGAGUGGCAGCAUUUCCUUGUUAUCUAUUGUUUCUGGAGAUAGACCAACAAGGUGACACUCAAGCAGGAAUGGAGCACUGUCUCGAUACUGCGACGGUAACAAUAAGGAAACUGAGAAAUGAACGUGAAGAACUCAGGAUUCUCAGUAAAAACAGGAGGCAUAGGCACACCAACACAGCACAGGGAAUUUGAAUAGAGAAUACAUUUUAAGAGGGUUUUCUAUUAUUGUCAACUAAAUUUAGGAUGUUGAUCUGCUUUGCUCACAAAUAGUUAAUGAAACAGGGGCAUGCAACUUUACUUUUUACAAGAAAUUAAGAAGUAUAAGGGUUACAUAACGGAGGAAGGAAAUGAACAUCUGUGGCUUCAUGGUGCUUUUUACACAUAAGAAAAUUAUUUGGGGGAUUUGUUGCUUACAGACAUCUGCUUAGCAGUGAUGCCAGAGCCAGCCAGCCUCAUUAGCUUUGACAGAUGACCAAUACCACCUAAUAGCCUUGAUUCUGACAGACAGAUCAUUUGCUUCAGCCAUAUAAAAUCUAUCUAAAUAAUUGAUAAAAACAGACAUAUGUACAAAAUAAAAAAUUGAAACAGGCUUUUGAAUGCUGAAACUUAAACCCAUUUAGGUGUUGAAUUUGGCAUGGAACAAUGGUCACAAUUUAGACUUGCAGGAAAUAAGACCCAUGUGGCUUACCUUCCUGCUUUUGGGGCAUAAUCAGAUAAUCUUUUGCCUAUAUAGUUGGAAUGACCAAAGCAAUGACCACACAGGUGCUUGUUACUGCCUCAGUGCUGAAAAAGCAAGGAACUUCAAUAUGUAGUCAUCUUUUUUUAUAACCUGUUUGGAGUUGCCUAAUUUGUUCUGUCAUUAAGUUUUUAGUUUCAGUCUUGUAAAUGAAGUAGAUAUAUCAAGCAGUAACUAUGUUUAAUUUCUGCUAUCCACCCAUGAAUAAUAAGCUAUUCCCCAACAAUGAAAAUAUAAUGGAAGAACUAUGAAUUACAACUGAUUGUGGUUAAACUGAUUUUUAUUUCUCAGAAAUACCUUUUGAAAACACUUCAGAACUUGCACCCAUGAUUUAUUCAGUUGUGAUUCUGUUUUGCUGAUGCAUUUGCAUAUUUUCCUUCACGUUUAAUGAUUUAGUAUCAUGUUUUGUUGUUUUUUUUUUUUUCCAGUUUAAAUGAAUAACUGAAACUUGUUCAGUAUUUACAUUUCACUGCUGUAUACCUCAAAUCAUUUUACUGGUAUUCAAUCUAAUGAUGUAAUGUUAUGAGUUCUCACUUUCAUGAAUAUUAAUAGAAAUGGAAAAUGCUUCAAAUGAUCUACAAGUUUUCAAAAAUUAAAUAUUUGGAGAAAAACUCAUAAUGAAAGCAGCAUUUGCCUUGAAAUACCUACUCUUAGGAAGAAAUUGAUAAUAAUGUCAAAAAUAGACAUCAAGUGUGAGACUACAAUUUGAAUUAUACUCAUCAAUUAAAGUCCACGUCAGGUUCUAAAAGCUAAUUUUUAAUAUAGUUUCUUUAUAUUCAUUUUGUGAUUUUUUUUUCCCCUCUGUCAAAGGGUAACCUUGCAAGCCACAACCUCAGUGCUGCAAAUCAGCAUGUAUGGGUUCACUGACAUCUGUAAAUGUAACAGUUUUCAUUAGCAAAUGACUAAGCCCAGUUCUCCAGAGGAUGCUGUGGUGUACCAACAGCCCUGAGAAUAUAUCUUCUUCCACAAACUCAAGAAAUCUAUGACACAUGCAAUACUAAAGAAAUCUGACAGUCCUGUUGUAAUCGUAGGCACUGGAUGUUCCUGUCAAGCUGAGGAACUCCACCCAGCAGUGCUGAAUAGUGAGAAAGAGCAGCACUUAUCCACCUCCCAGGUUUUGCUUGGUAGGUGGCCUCAGCUGUGGUCAUCUGGAAGCCAUUUCAUCAGAAAAGUGCUUGCUACAAACCAGGCAUUAU
Molecule: long non-coding RNA, 2712 nt
Organism: Gallus gallus (chicken)
Lineage: Eukaryota; Metazoa; Chordata; Aves; Galliformes; Phasianidae
Source: Ensembl